AUUGAACGCUGGCGGAAUGCUUUACACAUGCAAGUCGAACGGCAGCACGGGGCAACCUGGUGGCGAGUGGCGAACGGGUGAGUAAUACAUCGGAACGUGCCCAAUCGUGGGGGAUAACGUAGCGAAAGUUACGCUAAUACCGCAUACGAUCUACGGAUGAAAGCGGGGGAUCGCAAGACCUCGCGCGAAUGGAGCGGCCGAUGUCAGAUUAGGUAGUUGGUGGGGUAAAGGCUCACCAAGGCGACGAUCUGUAGCGGGUCUGAGAGGAUGAUCCGCCACACUGGAACUGAGACACGGUCCAGACUCCUACGGGAGGCAGCAGUGGGGAAUUUUGGACAAUGGGGGCAACCCUGAUCCAGCCAUGCCGCGUGAGUGAAGAAGGCCUUCGGGUUGUAAAGCUCUUUCGGCCGGGAAGAAAUCGUAUGGGUUAAUACCCUGUGCGGAUGACGGUACCGGCAUAAGAAGCACCGGCUAACUACGUG
This 482-nucleotide ribosomal RNA is filed under the name uncultured bacterium. RNAcentral describes it as "bacterial SSU rRNA". It matches the Rfam family "Bacterial small subunit ribosomal RNA", at positions 30 to 507 of the family's 1533-position model. The record is from RNAcentral.